CUAAUAUUCCGACGAUGGAACCUUCAUACUAUAUUAAGUAAAGUAGUUUAAUAUACUGUUACAUAGAUACAAUUACGUUACAUAGUAACAAUAUACAUGUGUUACGGUGGUCGAGAAGUUUAUAUAGGGUUCCAUAUAGGUCAUAUAAGAGACGUCCUACUUUAUUUGCCUGGUCUGACGACUACCCUACAACGGUCGGGUUACGAUGGUCACGACCAGCGAUAUCUCUUUCCGCCGAUUUCGACAACGGUGGUCUUGUCCUUGACGACAGUUGCCGCCAACGAGGAUAGUCCAACAGGAUCACGACGACACCUCACGACCCUACCUGUAGACUACGAUAUCGAUCCAAAGUAUAUCUCUUUGUAUACCAUGCGUAAAAGUACGGUAUAGUACGACGACCGUCAUAUUACUAUGAGAGGUCGUCGCCGGCAAGUUCUAUGUCUCUCUGUCGACGAUGGUCCUCAACUACUUUCGGCGGAUAGAAAUUCGGCUUGUCUAUGAUCCGACAGAUUGCCUCUGCAAUCGCUCAGCACGCGCUGAUCGAGUUGUGGCCGGCACCGACCGACGGCUACGACUCAAGUCGGCGACAAAACCCAGCCGACCGACGCCAUCGACCCAGCCGACCAAGAACCGCCGACAAAAAGACCUCGCCGUGCGCAAACCGAAAGUAAAAAGAUGCGCACAACUUUUUGCACGACGCCAUCGCGAAUACACAACAAGCCGACCUGUCAUUUCGAGUUCUUUGCUUUUAUUUUGUCGUAAAAAUUUGUGCGC
Molecule: long non-coding RNA, 774 nt
Filed under: Pandoravirus salinus
Description: putative ncRNA
Source: RNAcentral